Molecule: ribosomal RNA, 459 nt
Filed under: uncultured bacterium
Lineage: Bacteria
Description: partial 16S ribosomal RNA
Rfam family: Bacterial small subunit ribosomal RNA
Source: RNAcentral
CCUACGGGUGGCAGCAGUGAGGAAUAUUGGUCAAUGGCCGGGAGGCUGAACCAGCCAAGUAGCGUGAAGGAAGACGGCCCUACGGGUUGUAAACCUCUUUUGUAAGGGAGUAAGGUGCAGGUCGGGACCUGCUGUGAGAGUACCUGAUGAAAAAGAAUCGGCUAACUCCGUGCCAGCAGCCGCGGUAAUACGGAGGAUGCGAGCGUUAUCCGGAUUUAUUGGGUUUAAAGGGUGCGCAGGCGGGGGCUCAAGUCAGCGGUAAAAUUGCGGGGCUCAACCCCGCAUCGCCGUUGAAACUGUGUCCCUUGAGGUCACUAAGGGUAGGCGGAAUGCGUGGUGUAGCGGUGAAAUGCAUAGAUAUCACGCAGAACUCCGAUCGCGAAGGCAGCCUACCGGCGCGCAACUGACGCUCAUGCACGAAAGCGUGGGUAUCGAACAGGAUUAGAUACCCGAGUAGUC